AGAAUAUCAAACAUGCAAAGCGAAAAUCUUGCAUCCUCCAGUGACCAGGUCGCUCACUUCAUUAUGCAAGGACCAUAUGUUGGCAUGUAAAUCAAGUGGAGUGAUCUUGAUCACCCUCUUCAUUCUAUCUUGAAGUCUCCUCUAAUGAUUUUCCUUUUUAUUCUGGAGAUUGUGAACAAUAACUCCUAUUAUUAAUAAAACAAAGCACCUAUUAGUUGUCUAUUAGGAAGAGUCGAACUGUGGAAGUCCAAAUAAGUGAAGAAAUUUUGACAAACUUUAAGCAAUAUAAAAGCACCAAAAUAUUAAUAUAGCUUUCUUAAACAUAAAUCUCAAUGUGGGGGAGGCAAGACAUUUCAGUAUUAUAAACAUAACCAUACAUUUUGACAAACUCUUAUAAGUUUGUAUUUUAUCAAUUUUUAUAUUGAUACAAUAGAUGUGCAUCAAAAUUGAAUUACAAAUAGAAUAGUCAAAUAUUGGUAUGCCUAAUCGUACUACAAUGUCCCCAUAACAGCAAACUAAAAUGUCAUCAUCGUGAGUCAUAACUUGAAAAAAAUGAUAACAAAGGAACAUGUAAGAUCCAAAAUUCCACAUUAAUUGUAUGAAAAGCAACCUACAAACUUACCAAAAUGCAAUCCAAUAAGAAUCCCUUCUUUAGCUAACUUGCCAUACAUAGGAUCCUUUUGGGAUUGUGAUUGGGAGGCCAAAAAGCUGCUUUUUUGGAACAAUAACAUUUUAAAUG
Molecule: unclassified non-coding RNA, 739 nt
Filed under: Hevea brasiliensis (rubber tree)
Lineage: Eukaryota; Viridiplantae; Streptophyta; Magnoliopsida; Malpighiales; Euphorbiaceae
Source: RNAcentral